GAGAUUUUUUAUUAAAUAUAAACUCUUAGAGAAAUUACUUAAUAAACGAAGUAAAGUGAAAUAUCUUAUUAGCUUUAGGAAAAGAAAUUAAACGAGAUUCUAUAAUUAGUGUAAAUGAAAAUAGAUUAGCCUAUAAUAAUAAGUAAAAUGGCUUUUAAGCUGUUUGAAUUAUAUAGGGAACCUUCCUCAAAGGCUAAAUAUAAUAUAUAAGCGAUAGUUAAAAGUACUGUGAGGGAACAACAUUUAAAAUAGUAGUUUUAUAAGUAGCUUAAGCUAAAUUAAAAAAGCAAGAGCGUACCUUUUACAUAAUAGGUUACUAAGUUAACUUUAGGUGCGAGUAAUAUUAAAUAUAAGUAUAGUUAAACUAAUUAUUAAAAUAAUGAAGAGUAUCUAAAGUUAGACCCGAAGCUUAAUAAUCUUACUAUAGUUAAGAUUAUAAAAGUCCGAACGAGUUAUCGUUGUAAAGAUAUUUGAAGAACUAUAGUAAGUAAGUGAAAGAUAAUUCUAACUAAGAUAGCUAGUUUUCUACGAAACCUAUAUUAGUAGGCAAUUUAAGUAAUAUCUUAGUAAGUAUAGAACUUAAUCUUAGAUAAGGUAUAUAUUUUCAUAUAUAUUUAUAAAAAUACAUUUUAUUUUGUAUAUAUUAAAGGAUUGUAAAGAUUCUAUCGGUAAGUAUAUAGACUUGAAAUAAUAAAGAUAAAUCUUAAAUUAUCAAAUAUAAAAUAAUAAGGUUGUAUAUUAAAAGGGAAAUAGCCUAAAACAAAAGUUAAGGUUCUAAAAUUAUUAUUAAGUGAAAUUAAGAAGGUUUUUAUUUAAGUUAAUAAGGAGAUAGGCUUAGAAAUAGUUAUAAUUUAAAGAUCUCGUAAUAAAGUACUUAUUAAAUUUUAAAAGCAUCGAAAAUCUAACGGAUCUAAAUAAUAUACCGAAACCUUAUCUAUAUUUAACAAUAAACAUAAGACGUAAGCUAUUAUUAUUAUAAAUUAAAGUAGUAGAACGUUGAAUUAAUAUAAGAUUUUUUAGCUACGCUAUAAAAUUAUAAUAUAAUUCAAAUAAGAAUAGUAACAUAAGUAAUAAAAAAGCAAAGUUUUGCUUAAAGCUUAUAGAUAUAAAAAGUAACGGCUUCUAAGUUUAUAAUCUAAAGGUUAUAACGAUAAGAAAAUCUUAUUACUUAAUAAAACAACAUUUUUAAGUAGAAAGUAUACUAGAAGAAUAAGUAAGUAAUAAAUAAUAAACUAAUAAACUAAAAAGAUAAGGUUUUUUAUUUUUAAAUAACCGUACCUAAAAACUUUAUACGUAUAAGCUAGUAGAGAAUACGAAGGCGUAAAUGAGAUAAUAAUUAUAAAGGAACUCGGUAAAUUAACUAUCGUAACUUAAGGAUAAGGAAAGCUUAUUAGUCUCGAUUAAUAUAAAUAAAAACGAAGAAGUAUAAAAUAAUAUUAUACGACUAUUUAAUUAAAACAAAAUACUUUGCAAAAAGAUAAUAAAUCUAAGUAUUGAGUAUAAUUUUUACUUAAUACCGGCUAGUUAACGAAUUAACUAAAUUAAUAAAGUUUAGUCUUAAAGGAACCCUUAGUUAAUAGUAGCUUUAACGUAAAGGUUCUAAGGUAGCGAAAUACCUUAGCCGUUAAAUACAGUCUUAUAUAAAUAAUAUAACGAUACAAUAGCUAUCUCUAUAAUUGACUUAGUAAAAUUA
Ribosomal RNA from Coniochaeta ligniaria NRRL 30616, 1693 nucleotides. It matches the Rfam family "Bacterial large subunit ribosomal RNA", at positions 15 to 2044 of the family's 2925-position model. The record is from Rfam. Lineage: Eukaryota; Fungi; Ascomycota; Sordariomycetes; Coniochaetales; Coniochaetaceae.